Lepisosteus oculatus (spotted gar) is the source of this 3791-nucleotide non-coding RNA. NCBI's taxonomy places the organism in Eukaryota, Metazoa, Chordata, Actinopteri, Semionotiformes, Lepisosteidae. The record is from RefSeq and is a predicted model, not a curated record.
AGGAAGCUGAAGGGGGGUAGCUCUCGAGACAGUGAGCCCAAGAACCCGGGCAUGAAGCGUGCCAGCUCUCUGAGCGUACUUAACACGGCUGACAAGGCUGCUGGAGACCCCUUUCAAGAACGAAAUAAUAGUCUGAAGAAAGGUCGCGACCUGAGUGCCAGUCAAACCGACCUGGCGCACUGACGGGCCUGCAGGAUGCCCCAAGGACUGGCAAACAGGAGGGGGAGUUGGAUGAUGGGAAGACUGGAGGUUAUCGUGCAGCAGAACCCAGAACCAGUCCUGGAGCCUCUCCUACUGAGCUGACCCACUUCACCGACCAUCAGGACUUCCUCUCUUCCCCACCAGACCCGCUAGAAAAACUCUGCACUCAAACUGACCGGUGCAAUUGUCCUUCAGUGCAAUCCUUUUUUUGAUCCAAAUUGCUUUUAUCAAGAAUUGUGUUGCUGGUUUCAAGGAAGCAGCAGCGGUAUUGCUCGUGGCCCAGCGUCGUGGCUCGUCUCGACUGCACGUGGGUUUUUCAAGAGCCAGGUGUCUACGUGUCUGCCUGGCUCAGGAGCUGCUCUUGGCCGGCCUGUGCUGUUCUGCGGAGCCGUGAGGGGGAUUGCUCUGGUUGGUGUCUCUUUGCACACACGCCUGCCUGUUUGUGAUCCCACAUAGAGGCGUCCUCCUGCGACGGGCACUGACAUUUCAGGACAGAGCGAAUGUCCCCUGCUGCUCUCCCCAGCCCUCCGAACUCUUUGAGCCUUUGUUGCCUCCUGUCCCCAGUGUUUUCAGACUGUACCUAGUUAGACGGUAUGUGAUUUAAUUUCUGGAGAGCUGUUUUUGUUUUAUGCCAUAGGGAAUAGUUAAAGUUUGUGUUGGGUGUUACAACAGAUCAGACGAACACUUUUAGUUUAUAACCUUUUUGGAGCUUGUGCAGCCUUAGAGGGAGGUCCCAUGCUGUUCCCAGCUGGAACCCUGCCCGCUGUACAGAACAGGGAUGUUGCACCGGGUGUUUUGCUUGUGUGCGAUUUAGCAUGAGGGCUCUGUGUCCGAGGCAGAGGAGGAAUUGUGCAGCAUCAAAACACCUCAAGGUAUCUCAACCCUGCGUGUGCUUCUCAGGAUUUUCAAAUACUAAGGCUACAAAAAAAAUACAAAUACAAUACAAAAAGAAUAUUAAAAAUAUGUUUUUUUAUUUAUUGUUAACACACAUUAAUCUUUGUUUGGAAGAGGAAUGUAGGAUGCUGGUUUUCCAGGCUUGCAUUCACCGGGAUUUGAAUAUAUCCUUAGGAAUGAUGUGUGCAGCCAAUACAUACGGAUGAAUGGGUUCUUGUUAAAGACAAACUUAGCAACUAUUACAUUUAGAUGCUAUAACCUUCAGAAGUACACUUAUUACACUUACUUUAUAUUAGAUUGCACAUGCCUUAAUACCAGAUACUACAAUACUAGAAUAUACUAAGUCAUUAACUUAAAACCUAGGUUAUUGAUGUUGAACACACCAUAUGUAGACGUAUGAAUUAGUUACAUCAAUAUGUUGAUGUGCUCAUAGAGAAACACCUCGAACACUAAAGGUUCUGGAUGUCAUUUCUGUCGUCUUCAGGGUUUGUCUCCAUGGCUUCAAUAUUCCUUCAAUGUGAUUAUUCAACAUUCUUAGGCUGUUCACAAGGAUAUCUUCCAUGUGGAGUGUUCCUAUAACUUGGAGAAAGAAUGUUUUUUUCCCCCUGAAAACAGUUUUUGUUAUAAUAAGUACCUUUUUCUCGAAAGGCAUUAUGAUGAAGACCGCAUGUAGUCUUUCAGCGCCUAACGAUUUUCUUUCAACAGUUUAAAAAAAAACCAUACCAUCUGCUGAUGGUAGAAUCGUUUUCCGCAAAGCGUAGCACAACAGAGUACAACCAGUACUGUGUGUCACUGUUUCUCUUUCAGUGCCUCUGUGGAUUCAGGCGACUGGCCCUCUCCUCUAGGUACUGAAGAACACUCAGUUACUCAGGCUGAGCUCAGGCCUUGACGAUCUGUUGCCCUUGCCUAAAAGGCAUAUUUUUGCCUCUUUUACCAUUUGCAAGCUGCCUCUAUCCUUUAUGGCCCUGUUAGAGUGAUAAAUCCGGAGUCAUGACAACAGGGCGUUGAUUGUAUUUACAUUUUUUGCUGCUCUAGGCACGUUCUGUGCAAAUGACUUCAAUCUUUACUGCCUUCUGCUGGACAGUUUCUGGGUGUGCGUUCUUUCUAUGUUUUUGUGCAAAUGACCGUGAUGCCUCAAGGCCACAAUGCAAAAUAGUAAAAUGUAGGAUCCUAUAUGAUGUAAUGAUUGUUGUAUCUCCACCAGCUCACUGAACCAAGCCUGGUUCAUAUCUUAAAUAGAGUGGCCUUCUAUGCACCGUCUUUAUACUUAACAAUACUGCCUAACACCAGAGUAACUUACAUUAAAAAAAAAAACGAGCUCAGAGUGCCACACACUGUGCAGGGAAAUCCCAGAGAUUGUUGGGACUAUGGAGGUGGAAAAGGGAGCCUGGAAGUCGGCUUUUGAUAAAUAUGGUCUUUGAGCAGUUCUGCUUGCACUGCGGGUUUUCAAGCCCGGGCUGGUUGCGGGUCUUUAUGACCAUCGAGACAAAGACACAGGUGUAACCCGCUGUGGGAAGAUGUGACUAGUGAGAGGACUGCUGGCACAGCUGGAACUAGAGACUCGGGGUCUUCGGAGGGAGCGAUCUUUUUAUUCAUUGAACAGUGGCAGCGCAGAGCAGGGUGAAUGCCAGAUAGAUGGAGGACACACAAUCAAAAACAGAGAACAGUCCCUCUGCCUUGGACUCCUCCUUCCUUUAUUCUUCCCACAUUGUGCCUGAAGAGAUUCGACUUUCUAGACACUUGAUUUAAAAAAAAAAAAAACUCUCCAUAUGAACUUUGGCAGCAGAUGCACUUUUACCUUCAGAAAGAAGCCUGCACACAGACUAGGGACAUUGAGAAAUAUUGUAGGGCUAAUGAAACCUCAGGUUGCUGCCUGGCGAAAAAUAACAGUAAUGUAUUUGUAUCGACUUAAACCUAAUGGGCUAGCAGCGUAUUCCAAACAUUCUGGAAUCUGUCCCAUUCAGACAUUCCCGGUCCUUUUACUGUCAGGUGACAGCAACACAGUACUAGAAACCACAGAGGUUUAUUGAAAUGUGAUACCUUCUCAUUGUAUCCAGUUCUGCAACCGACAGCUUCUGCAAGACAGGCAGUCCUGGUGCACAUUAGUGUCCAGUAAUAUCUGUCAAAAAACAAAAGCCCCACACGCUAUAGUGACUGACAGAAGAUUUACCUUCUGUAACUGAAGGUCGGCUUUGAAUUAAAAGUGAAGAAAAGAAGAAUUUAGUUGCAAACUAUUAAGUACUAAAUAUUCUGUUCAGGAUAUGAGUUUUCCCGGUAUAGGGAGGCCUUGGGAUUAACACAUUGGCAGAAUGACCUUUGAUCUUUCAAGCGUGACAGUACCUGAAGUAGUGACUAUUUCAAAAUAACCUGUAUUCAGUGAAAAAUAAAAAGAGAAAGCUUUGUCCCCCCACUCCCCACCCCCAUCUCUCUUAGUGGAUGCUGUUCUGUAUUGCUGAGCUUUGAUUCAUAGUGUGCAUUUGCUGUAUUCCUUUCCCAUUUGCCCUUGUAUGUGCUGCUGUGAGAACAAAGCAGGGGUCAAGAGGAAGAGACCACCUGCAAUCAGCCGUGUGCACACUGCAGUCUCCCUAUGGGCUGGUCAGCUUUGUCUGCUGGCUGCAUCGUUUUACUGUGGUGACUUUUGUGUUGCAGAUGUAUGUCAUAUUGAGAAAAGACUAAAUACAUUACUUUAAAUGCUG